UACGGAGGGUGCAAGCGUUAUCCGGAUUCACUGGGUUUAAAGGGUGUGUAGGCGGGCUUUUAAGUCAGCGGUGAAAUCUCCGGGCUCAACCCGGAAACUGCCAUUGAUACUAUUAGUCUUGAAUAUCGUUGAGGUUGGCGGAAUAUAUCAUGUAGCGGUGAAAUGCAUAGAUAUGAUAUAGAACACCGAUUGCGAAGGCAGCUAACUAAGCGAUGAUUGACGCUGGAGGCAACGAAAGCGUGGGGAUCAAACAGG
Molecule: ribosomal RNA, 255 nt
Filed under: uncultured bacterium
Lineage: Bacteria
Description: partial 16S ribosomal RNA
Rfam family: Bacterial small subunit ribosomal RNA
Source: RNAcentral